UACGGGGGGAGCAAGCGUUGUUCGGAUUUACUGGGCGUAAAGGGCGCGUAGGCGGCCACCGCAAGUCGGUUGUGAAAUCUCCGGGCUUAACCUGGAAAGGUCAACCGAUACUGCGGGGCUAGAGUGCAGAAGGGGCAACUGGAAUUCUCGGUGUAGCGGUGAAAUGCGUAGAUAUGACAUAGAACACCAAUUGCGAAGGCAGCUGGCUACACAAAUAUUGACACUCAGGCACGAAAGCGUGGGGAUCAAACAGG
RNAcentral lists this ribosomal RNA (254 nucleotides) under uncultured bacterium. RNAcentral describes it as "partial 16S ribosomal RNA". It matches the Rfam family "Bacterial small subunit ribosomal RNA", at positions 524 to 776 of the family's 1533-position model. The record is from RNAcentral.